GUAACGGCCCUUUUCAGGGCCACCCACAAUUUGAUCCCGAUAUAC
This is a non-coding RNA of Schistosoma mansoni, 45 nucleotides long. The record is from Rfam. Lineage: Eukaryota; Metazoa; Platyhelminthes; Trematoda; Strigeidida; Schistosomatidae.